RNAcentral lists this long non-coding RNA (399 nucleotides) under Homo sapiens (human). RNAcentral describes it as "HSALNT0058556". The record is from RNAcentral. Lineage: Eukaryota; Metazoa; Chordata; Mammalia; Primates; Hominidae.
UCUUAGUCAAGUGGGGACUAAGAAGCAUUAAAUGGCUUCACCGUUCCUGGAAAGUCUAAAGGAAGCACCCUUGCUGCUGCCUAAGGAAGUCCUCUUGGCUAGUGGAGAGUGAAGUUAUAUUUAAUUCUUGGCACAGGUGACAAAAGCCAUGUGGAUUUAAUCCCUGCUUCUCUACACAUUGGGAAUCGCCAAGAAUCUCUUUGUCAGGUUACACAUUCCAAGGAUACAUCAAUAUAAGCCAGGUUAAGGACAGUUGAAUGAAAUUUGAAUUUAACUGUAGUAGUCCCGUGCAUUAAGAUUCCCUCUGUUUGAGGAUCAUGCAACCAAACUUCUUAGCAGAAAAUUUUCCCUCUGACAAAAUAUGGUAUCAUAUUAACAAGUCAAAAAAUUAAAUUCAAG